GUGAAACCAAUAUAACAUCUCAACAUUCACAAAUAUACAUUUCUGACAUUCAAAAACAAAACAAAAAAAAAUCAGUGACCAAUAUAGCCACCUUUCUUUGCAAGGACACUCAAAAGCCUGCCAUCCAUGGAUUCUGUCAGUGUUUUGAUCUGUUCACCAUCAACAUUGCGUGCAGCAGCAACCACAGCCUCCCAGACACGGUUCAGAGAGGUGUACUGUUUUCCCUCCUUGUAAAUCUCACAUUUGAUGAUGGACCACAGGUUCUCAAUGGGGUUCAGAUCAGGUGAACAAGAAGGCCAUGUC
Pelobates cultripes (western spadefoot toad) is the source of this 303-nucleotide non-coding RNA. The record is from the annotation of a GenBank genome assembly. NCBI's taxonomy places the organism in Eukaryota, Metazoa, Chordata, Amphibia, Anura, Pelobatidae.